GACGAACGCUGGCGGCGUGCUUAACACAUGCAAGUCGAACGGAAAGGCUCCAGCUUGCUGGAGUACUCGAGUGGCGAACGGGUGAGUAACACGUGGGUAAUCUGCCCUGCACUCUGGGAUAAGCCAGGGAAACUGGGUCUAAUACUGGAUAUGACCUUUCUCCUUAUGGGGUUUGGUGGAAAGUUUUUCGGUGUAGGAUGAGCCCGCGGCCUAUCAGCUUGUUGGUGGGGUGAUGGCCUACCAAGGCGACGACGGGUAGCCGGCCUGAGAGGGUGAUCGGCCACAUUGGGACUGAGAUACGGCCCAGACUCCUACGGGAGGCAGCAGUGGGGAAUAUUGCACAAUGGGCGGAAGCCUGAUGCAGCGACGCCGCGUGAGGGAUGACGGCCUUCGGGUUGUAAACCUCUUUCAGCAGGGACGAAGCGUAAGUGACGGUACCUGCAGAAGAAGCACCGGCUAACUAUGUG
Molecule: ribosomal RNA, 467 nt
Filed under: uncultured bacterium
Lineage: Bacteria
Description: partial 16S ribosomal RNA
Rfam family: Bacterial small subunit ribosomal RNA
Source: RNAcentral